CCAACUUCGGCGCCAUCUCAUGGCACCUCGACGACGGUGAGGCAUCCGAUCUGGCGCGCACCCAAAUGAGGUGGCGGCAGAUCAACAUCGAUGGUGUGGUUUGCAUCUGGUCAUCAGGAGAGGCGAGGAGACGCGGAUCCAGAAGGCAGGCCAUGGCGGCGGCCAGAUCCAUGCCGGGACAGGAUCUGCGUCUGGAGAACCAUACCAUGGAGGGAGGAGACCCACGCCAUGGAGCUGCUCGUCAAGGAGAGGCCCGACCCAUUCCUUUCCCUUUCCUAGUGAGUGCUCGUCAAGGUCUUUGAUUUCCUUUCCUGAUGCGAGUUCAUUUGAUAUGUUAUUCUUCCUCUUCCUCAUGCAGGUGCACACACAUGUGGGUCAACAAGGGGCAAGACCGACAGACCAGCAGCACCAUGCACACAUUCAAGACUAGUAGCUGUCGAUGCCUUGGAAGGUCCACUCCAAAUUUCUCAACUCUCUGUUUGGUCCCGUCUGGUCCUAGGCUACAUCAGUUUUGUGAUGGAAACCACAUAAUUAAGAACUUCUGCUUGUCGAGAUUUCGGUUUUGUGAUGCUUUUGUGUGUGUUUUCUGUUGGCAAAAUCAGAAACUGACGUUGUAACCAUGAUUUGGCAGAUGGACAUGCAGAUGUGGAAUAGCACCACCCUAGUAUGGUUGUAACUCCAGCGACUCAGCGGGAUAUACGAUGCUGUUUCACUCCCCCAUCAUGUGAUUGGCAGCUCACAGGAGCCAUCUAACUUCUUGUAAGAUGAUGAAGGUAUUCAAGUACUCCGGGUUCCUCUUUUUUUUGCGUCUUGGUGGAAGCCAUUCGGUACCAUAGAAGACGCUGAAGCUAUCGCUGUGCUUGUUCUUUUUUUCGGUUGUUCCUAUAGUUGACCUUAUGUGCGUGUUUCUGUACGGGUAGUCGGGUUACUUGUGAGUCUAUGAUGGUUUUCUCUUGUGCAAAGACGCCAUUUAAUUACAUUGUUGUGCAGAUAGUGUAUUCCCAAAUCAGUCACACUUUUGUAUAUAUCCAAUUAUUUACGUAACUGAAUCUUUGUGCAUGACUAUGAUACUCAAACCCAUAUUUGGCUACCACUGUAUAGUUUCUAUCUGAUUAAUCACAUAUCAAUUAGCUUUGAUGGUAUUCAUUAUGUGCCCGUUGUUGAGAUGUAUGUAAUCUUGAUGAGAAUUCAGGUCCAGUCUGUUACAUGUUUUAGAAAUACAGUAGAAAACAUGAAAGAAAUUGGGGGAAAAAUAAUCCGGGUGUCGGGUUCCUUUCACGUAAUUCAACGAACAUCCUGUUAUGCAAUCUUUGUUUUUUCCUUGCUAUGUAGUAUAUGAGAGGGAAAGUAGUGGCUGUAGAAAAACUGUACUGUUGAUAUGAGAUAUUAUUGGGGCAUAAUACAAUCAAAUUUUUUGUAUUAAUCAGCAACGUACAUAAAUAUAACGAUGUUUUAAUGGCAAUUAUUUUUCUCUUCAUAUUAGGAUUAAAAAUAUGCAGACACGUAAUAGCAAUCUACAACUCUAGAGAGUCAUGUUAAUCCUUUUUAUACAGGAGUAAGUGGGCAUGUACAGGAGUCGAGGGGGAUUUUCUUUCCUAAUUUCUUAUUUUGAGGAAGAGUUGCCGCUCCUUUUAUACGUGAUUGUUUUCCCUUUCAAUUGACAUCAAAUGAAUCUGUUUUUUUUUAUUAUCGGUGUAGGUUUUAUGUAAGGAAGCUACCUUUUUGUUAUAUAGCUAGCGAACCCAUGGAUGAUUUCCUUCUUCACUUUCACAAACUGUACGUGUGGGUCUUUUUUUGGCCGGGCCAUCUAUAUCGUAGAAGUUUCAG
This 1827-nucleotide long non-coding RNA is filed under the name Hordeum vulgare. Its description in RNAcentral is "long non-coding RNA (HVUL_LNC010333)". The record is from RNAcentral. Lineage: Eukaryota; Viridiplantae; Streptophyta; Magnoliopsida; Poales; Poaceae.